AUCCAAAGGGCAUAUUUCCUCCUCUCUUGCCAAGUGUCCUCCUGAUGACUGUUGGAGCACAGGAAACGGUUACAACCGUCGUUGGAGGUCGGUAAUUACCGACCUGGAGAAUUUUUGGGCCAGCUAGGCUGGGCCUAGGUCGGCCGACCCCUGGCUGGUCCCUUUGGCCCAGAGCUUUCUCCAAGCUCCUGUAUGGUGGGUCCAAGGUCUAGCGGUGUGUCGGUUGGGCCCAAUUGCAGGUGUUUCAUUGGGUUUGUGGGGCCCUUUUUUACAUUUAUUCUCCACUUGUCGACAUUUGACUGAUUGAACGGGUGUUUUCCACCAUUUCUCCUCCAUUUAUAUGGUGAACUACUGUAAGCAAAUAUAAUGCCAAGUACAAGUGGAAAUAGAUUAUUUCUAAGUAUGCAUGCAAGCAUUGCUAAUUCUCUAUUAUUUUUGGAAUUAUUGACGGUCGAAAUUGGUCUAUAACAACCAUCAACACCUAUGAUGUGAAUAAUGGUUGUAUCGAUGAUAGCCAUAGUCACAUCAAUAUAUGAUCUACAAAAGUAACACAAAGCCACAAGUAAACAAGCUAGAUGCAAUGAUAAAUGCAAAAGGGAAAGAAAUCAAUAAGGAUGGAGAUGCAGAGAAUUUUUUCUCAAAGUUUGGCUUCUUAAGGUGAUUGUACGUCUCAGUUGAGGAGCUCACAAAGAGCUAAGUUUAUUUCAACACUGUUCCUGUUGAAGUUGCACAAGCAUUCCUCUUUCACAAAUGUUAUCUCGCUUUUCUUACACAGUUGUGAUCCAAUCUUAACAAACCUCUCUUGACACACCACAAGCCAAUUAGUGACUCAAGGCCAAAUCCUGGCCAUCUUAAAAACUCAAGCGAAUAUUUUUUGAACUGGCGAAAGUUCCAAUAAAAUACUUCCUCCGUCGAAAUAUCUUAAAAACUAAAGCAAGUAUCCAGACAAACAUUUCUUUUUUUUUUUUGCCUGUGGUCACAAACACUUGGGAUUGUGCUAUAUAUCUACUAUUGGGUCGAAAUAUCUAGCCGAUUGGAACUUCUAGCUAUUGUGUCGAAACUUCCAAUAAAAUAGGGUACCUGAGAGCUUAACAUUCAAGAAAAUUGUUUUAUUUUUGAAACAUUGGAUAUUGUGGGCAACUCAUCGAAAGUUCUGGUCGAAACAAUAAAGCAGACUCUUGGGUAUUCCAUGAGACCCAACGGAACUUCCAGUAAAAUUAAGAUUUGCAACCCAAGAUUUGCCAACAGAAAUGAACACUUACAAAUAAUUUUACUUUCACUAAGGUUCAGUAUUAGUUAAUUGAAUGGCAUCCCUCUCAACAUACGGCAGUCCUAUACUCAAGAAAAUGAAAAAAAGAAAACAAUUACCACAUGAAUCUAAUUGCAUCAUAUAUAGUGUUGUUCCUGUGUUAAAUUUGUUAAUCUCAUGGUAGCGAUAGCAACUAUUGUUGGAUCAAUCAAUGAGACCAAUCAACAAUUUGUUAUGAUUGUUUUUUUUUGGAGCAAAAUGAGUAUCAUUGCCGGUUUAUGAGUUGAACCGAUAGCGUUGUAUGAUUUUGGGUAGUGCCUGCUCAAUUCUUUGGACGGGUUAUUUGAAAAAUGCUCAAAAUACCCUUAUAUAUUCAAAAGUCACUACAACAAAAGGGCAAAUAGGUGUCACCACUAUAGGUGUCAGCACACCAAAAACUGGCACCUAUAAUGCCUUCUCCGCCCAUGCGCCCACCCACACGCGCCACAUAUUCAACAACCAGCACCUUUAUGUCCAAAUAGGUGUCGGUUUUUAAAUAAAACCGGCACCUAAAACCUGUGUCAGAGAAAGGUGCUGGUUCUAGACCCAAAACCAACACCUUUAAUCUUCUCCCUCCCACACUAGCCGUUGGCGGGCCCCACAUAUAGGUGCCGGUUCUCAACCCAAACCGACACCUUUGUUUCAAAAGUGCUUUUCAUGCCCGAUGGUGGGCCCUACACAAAGGUGCCGGUUCUUGGUAUGACAAGACAAAGGUGUUGGUUCUCGACCCAAAACCGGCACCUUUAACAUUCUCCCUCCCAUACUAGCCGUUGGUGGGCCCCAUACAUAGUUGUCAGUUUUUGUAUGACAAGAUAAAGGUGUCGGUUUUUGUCUAGAACCGGCACCUUUGUUCCGAUAGUGCUUUUCAUGCCCCACACAAAGGUGCCGGUUUUUUGUCUAGAACCGGCAAAUCUAGCUCCUCCGCCUCGACAGAAGACCUCCAGUCCACCUCCUCGUGAAAACACACCUAAUGAACCACAUCGUCCAGAGAAGUCCACGAGUCCACCCCCACACAGAAAAAAGACCCGAACACCAAGUGCAUCACAUAUGUCUGUUCCAUCAAGCAAAGAACGACUCAAACAUUCCAAUUCAGACUUAGUGUCAAAGCCGACAACGCCGCUGCAUAAGAAGACAAUGAACGCCAGCAUCACUUCGCUUUUUUGUCCUCCGCAUGUAAUCGAGCAUUUCAUCAAGUGCGCACCACCGAAGUCACCUAAGAAGCCUAUAUCGGACUUCCGGAAAAUUCUUGGCAAAAAAAGAUAUGCAAGCUUAGUCUAGGGAGUUGUACCUUGAAGAGAAAGCGUCCAAGGAAGCUGAUUUCUGCAAGUCAGCUAGUUUGAAAAGCCUGGACAAUCUAAAUGAACUUGAAGAGGCCCCGAUUGUACUGCGAUUCCAACUUGGUCAACCGAUGGUGCUUGACACAGAAAUUGAAUCCUUAGGAACUCAAGCGCAUUGGCUGCAUGAAUGGUAUUUGGAGGAGGCCAAAAAGGGUGUUGGGAUGUUCGGUGCCUACUACACCAACGUGGAUUUUCACCACCCCAAUAAUACAUGAUUUGUAGAUUUUAAGGAACUCUUCCAGUUGUACCAAAGAAGGGAACUCGAUAUCUGCCUCCUGCAAUUGUGGUCAUUGCAUUGCUCUUAUCAGGUUAGAUCCAUGAACCAUAAGAUAGCUUUCCUAGACCCAACCGUUGUAAACUUUGACAAGCAAUGCACCUCCGAAGCUGAAAUUGACCGCUAUCUCUUUGAUGCCCUUGUCAAGCUUAAUGGAUGUGACCACAUUUUGUUGCCUUACCUUUCUCACCAUCAUUGGAUCCUCCUCGUAAUCAACAUCGACGACAGUUCGAUUUGCAUAUAUGAUAGCCUGAGAGGGAUAGACAAGUACCAAACUAUUUUAAGUGCACUAAAUAGGGCAUAUAAGAAGUACCGUAGGUCCGGAAGAUCGUAUGGGAGAUGCAAGAUUGAUGCAACUGAAUUUCGGAUUUUCGAACAUAAAUAUAUCCUUCGUCAACUAGAGGCCACCGACCUCUGCGGAUUCUACGUCAUGCGGUACAUGCUAUAUUUUGUAGAGGAUGGAUACAAUCACCGCAAUGCCGAGAAAUUGGGUCUCGAUACAAGUGAAAUUCUACCACACGUCUUCAAAGCUCUCACUGACGAGUUUUGCGGGUUCAUCUGUCAUCAUGUUGUAGACCCAACUGGCGAAUACAACAUCAACAAGGUCCCACAACGAGUGCAAUCUUCUGUCCCUCCCCCUCGGGACCAAGCCGCGAAGAAAUUAGCUCCUAGGAAAAGAAAAACCAGCUAGCUAGAUUUAUGUGAAAAAAAUGUAUUUAAUUAGUGUUUAUGCAUGAACUAUGGAAGUGUACUUUAUGUGUAAUGCAUUUGAAUAUUUGCUAUUAUUAUGGAUUCUAUUUUAUGUUUUCUAUUACAGGCUCGAUGACUUGAGGACGAGAAA
Long non-coding RNA from Oryza sativa Japonica Group (Japanese rice), 3740 nucleotides. RefSeq lists it as uncharacterized. Lineage: Eukaryota; Viridiplantae; Streptophyta; Magnoliopsida; Poales; Poaceae. The record is from RefSeq and is a predicted model, not a curated record.